AUGGAGGAGAGGCUAAGGGGCUUUCCCCGGGUUGACACGGCCAAUUUAUGUCCCAGCGAGGGUGAGAGCGACGCCAAGGCUGAGGGCAGAGGAGCACGGCCCCGAGGCCUGCGACGCAGCCAAGAUCUCCACCACCUCGUCGGAGGAGGCCUGCCGUGACAAGAGCAGCCCCGCGGUCAAGGCGUAACUUUUCGCCGCCGAGUGGCCCCGGGACAGCAAGCGGCUGGACAAGGCGUCGCCAGACUCACGCCGCAGCCCCGCCACCAUCUCAUCCAGCACCCAAGGCCUGGGCGCGGAGGAGCGCAGGAGCCCAGGCCGCGAGGGCGCAGCGCCGGCCAAGGUGGAGGAGGCGCGCGCGCUCCCGGGCAAGGAGGCCUUCGCGCCCCUCACGGUGCAGACGGACGCGGCGGCUGCGCUUUUGGCCCAGGGCCCACUGCCCAGCCUCGGCUUCGCCCCGGACCUGGCGGGCCAGCAGUUCUUCAACGGGCAUCUGCUCUUCCUGCACCCUGGCCAGUUUGCCAUGGGAGGCGCCUUCUCCAGCAUGGCGGCCGCCGGCAUGGGGCCCCUCCUGGCCACCGUGUCUGGGGCCUCCACCGGCGUCUCGACCUAAUUCGACAGCCAUGGCCUCUGCCGCCGCAGCACAGGGACAGUCCGGGGCUUCCGCGGCCACCCUGCCCUUCCACCUCCAGCAGCACGUCCUGGCUUCUCAGGGCCUGGCCAUGUCCCCUUUCGGAAGCCUGUUUCCUUACCCUUACAUGUACAUGGCUGCGGCGCCUUCCAGCUCUGUGCACCGCCACCCCUUCCUCAAUCUGAACACUAUGCGCCCGCGGCUGCUCUACAGCCCCUACUCUAUCCCGGUGCCGUCCCGGGCGGCAGCAGCCUGCUCACCACCGCCCUCCCCUCCAUGGCGGCGGCCGCGGGGACCCUGGACGGCAAAGUCGCCGCACUGGCCGCCAGCCCGGCCUCGGUGGCCGUGGACUCAGGCUCUGAACUCAACAGCCGCUCCUCCAAGCUCUCCUCCAGCUCCGUGUCCUUGUCGCCCAAACCCUGCGCGGAGAAAGAGGCGGCCACCAGCGAACUGCAGAGCAACCAGCGGUUGGUCAGUGGCUUGGAAGCCAAGCCGGACAGGUCCCGCAGUGCGUCCCCGUAGAUCCCUCCCAGACACGUCUCUUCAUUCCAGUCCAGUCCAGACUGCCGUCCACUUUGUCGGAUAUAAACCACGGGCCCGCCAUGGCGUUAGCCCUUCCUUUUUCAGUUGCUUCUGGGAAGGAGCCCCGGACUCCCUCGAGAGAAUGUGCUAGAGACAGCCCCUGUCGUCUUGGCCUGGUUUAUGCAUCCGGGAUCUGGAACAGAUUCUGGGGGCUCAGAAACAUCGGUUGCAUUGAGCUAUUGGGGGUGGGAGUUCCAACCUUUAUGUCCAGAGCAAUUUCCAGCAAGGCUGGUCUGGGUCUCUGCCCACCAGGCGGGGAGAUGUUCAAAGACAUCCCCCUCAGUGCGGAUUUAUAUAUUUUUUUCCUUCACUGUGUCAAGUGGAAACAGAAACAAAUAAAAUCUUUCAAAAAAAAUGGGGACAAGUCAAUACAUUAACAUGAUUCUGUUUGUGCAGAUUAAGAACUUUAUAGGGACUUGUAUUAUCAAUAAAUUACUGAGCAGCUUUGUUUGGAGAGGGAAGUCCCUACCAUUUGUUUAGUCUGUAUUAAGGAAAUCUGUGCCCUUUUAAUAUUCUUGUGAUGUUUUCAGAGCCGCUAUAGGUCUCUUCUUGCAUGUUUCACAGUAAUGUAUUUGUGGUUUUUAUUUUGAAUGCUUGCUUUUGUAGUUAACCCUAUACCCUUUGCCCAAUCCUUUGCCCUCAAAUCAGUGACCCAAGGGUGGAGGGCGAUUUAAAGGAAAGGAGUGGGCAAAGCACAUAAAAUGAAUUUAUUUUAUCUAAGCUCUG
Non-coding RNA from Callithrix jacchus (white-tufted-ear marmoset), 1936 nucleotides. NCBI's taxonomy places the organism in Eukaryota, Metazoa, Chordata, Mammalia, Primates, Cebidae. The record is from RefSeq and is a predicted model, not a curated record.